Long non-coding RNA from Triticum aestivum (bread wheat), 1168 nucleotides. RefSeq lists it as uncharacterized. The record is from RefSeq and is a predicted model, not a curated record. NCBI's taxonomy places the organism in Eukaryota, Viridiplantae, Streptophyta, Magnoliopsida, Poales, Poaceae. The transcript has 4 exons.
UGUAGCAGAGAAAGAAGGGACAUUUUGGCCGGGGCAGAGCAAACAUGAGGCAUUUUAUCUAUUAGCCUUGAAAGUUUUGGCGGCUGCGGGGCUCAACCGGCGGCGAAGGGGACGCGCUCCUGGGGCAGCCUCUGCCGUUGCCGCGGAAGACGACGGGGAGACCCCUUCCUCUCGGACGCGGCACCCUCGUCCUCGAGAGUCCAGUUCAGGAAUGUGGCGUCGCGGGCGCGGUGGGUGGAGGAGGCUGGUGCGGCGGAGGUGUUGGACAACAAGGGGAAGCUUUGGCUGACCACCGGCGUAGCUGAGAGCCGACGCGUGUGGAGGAGAUCGGAGACAAGCCACCUUCAAGGGAUGAACUGGAAACGGUAGAGAACAAGUUUGACGGCAUUCCUCUUAAAUUCUGUCAAGUUGAUAAUGGGGAUAUCAGCUUCCUCUCCUUUGAUAAAGUUACACUUCCUACUUUGCCCUGAUAGAUAGCCGCAGGAAUGGUUUUUAGCUUUCGCCUGUUCUGUCCUGUAAAGCUCCCACUGGCUGCAUCAGGAUGUCUGCUUCUGUGCCGCUUCUCAGGGCCGAGAAAGUUGCCAGGAAAAUUUGGGUUUUCCAACUGCGAUGAAUGCCACACUUUUCGGGCUGAGAAAGUUUCCAGGUUGAUCUUCAGGUUCUUCAGUUGGAAUGCUCAUGAGCAGCGAGCGUGUCAGGAAGCGAAAUCAUGAUGUUUUUUCCUUUGGUAACGAGGAGUGCAUCAUUUCGCGAGGCUCCCUAACAUAGUAGAUUGCCUUUAACUUCUAGCUGGAACUUGCAACCUAUAGAGAUGUUCUAUAUUUCGAAAGGAAGGCGUAUCAGAUUUGCAGUUCAGAAAACAUGUUGUGUUCGAGCAAGAGAUCAUCGAACCACUGUCAUUCGGCCAGGCUAGCUCAUGUUUGAUUAGUAUUGUAUAACUAGCACUCUGUCACUGAGGUGAUUUGCCAUAUGCGUACAAAUAAUGAUAUCAUGAUAAACAGACGUAGCCUACCUGUAAUUUUAUUUUUUGCGGGUGAGCCUACCUGUAAUGUUACUUCAGCUAGCGGAUGCCGCAUCUCCACUGAUACAAAAAGCACCACUUCCCGAGGUCCUGCCACGCUAGGAAGCUCGAGUGCCUGAGCUAUCGAUGUUGGUCUAAACUUCUAUG